RNAcentral lists this ribosomal RNA (497 nucleotides) under uncultured bacterium. RNAcentral's name for it is "partial 16S ribosomal RNA". It matches the Rfam family "Bacterial small subunit ribosomal RNA", at positions 28 to 507 of the family's 1533-position model. The record is from RNAcentral.
GAUGAACGCUGGCGGCGUGCUUAAUACAUGCAAGUCGAGCGAACGGACGAGAAGCUUGCUUCUCUGAUGUUAGCGGCGGACGGGUGAGUAACACGUGGAUAACCUACCUAUAAGACUGGGAUAACUUCGGGAAACCGUAGCUAAUACCGGAUAAUAUUCUGAACCGCAUGGUUCAUAAGUGAAAGACGGUCUUGCGGUCACUUAUCGAUGGAUCCGCGCUUCAUUAGCUAGUUGGUAAGUUAACGGCUUACCAAGGGAAGGAUGCAUAGCCGACCUGAGAGGGUGAUCGGCCACACUGGAACUGAGACACGGUCCAGACGCCUGCGGGAGGCAGCAGUAGGGAAUCUGCCGCAAUGGGCGAGAGCCUGACGGAGCAACGCCGCGUGAGUGAUGAAGGUCUUCGGAGCGUAAAACUCUGUUAUUAGGGAAGAACAGAUGUGUAAGUAACUGAGCACAGCUUGACGGUACCUAAUCAAAAAGCCCCGGCUAACUACGUG